Molecule: ribosomal RNA, 497 nt
Filed under: uncultured bacterium
Lineage: Bacteria
Description: partial 16S ribosomal RNA
Rfam family: Bacterial small subunit ribosomal RNA
Source: RNAcentral
GAUGAACGCUGGCGGCGUGCCUAAUACAUGCAAGUCGAGCGAACAGAUAAGGAGCUUGCUCCUUUGACGUUAGCGGCGGACGGGUGAGUAACACGUGGGUAACCUACCUAUAAGACUGGGAUAACUUCGGGAAACCGGAGCUAAUACCGGAUAAUAUUUCGAACCGCAUGGUUCGAUAGUGAAAGAUGGUUUUGCUAUCACUUAUAGAUGGACCCGCGCCGUAUUAGCUAGUUGGUAAGGUAACGGCUUACCAAGGCGACGAUACGUAGCCGACCUGAGAGAGUGAUCGGCCACACUGGAACUGAGACACGGUCCAGACUCCUACGGGAGGCAGCAGUAGGGAAUCUUCCGCAAUGGGCGAAAGCCUGACGGAGCAACGCCGCGUGAGUGAUGAAGGUCUUCGGAUCGUAAAACUCUGUUAUUAGGGAAGAACAUACGUGUGAGUAACUGUGCACGUCUUGACGGUACCUAAUCAGAAAGCCACGGCUAACUACGUG